Non-coding RNA from Ictidomys tridecemlineatus (thirteen-lined ground squirrel), 73 nucleotides. The record is from Rfam. NCBI's taxonomy places the organism in Eukaryota, Metazoa, Chordata, Mammalia, Rodentia, Sciuridae.
GGGGAUAUAAUUCAGUUGGUAGAGUUCCUGCCUCACAUGCAUGAGGCCCUGGGUUCAAUUCCCAGCACUACCA